UAUAAGUGUAGUUUUGCACUAUUCACGUGACCGUUCAUCUUAUUUAAAAAAAUUUUAUGAUUACUAUUUUUAUUGUUAUUACAUGAUAAAAUAUGAAUAAUACUUAAUAUGUGACUAAAUAUUUUCAAAUUUUUCAUAAUUUUUUUAAAUAAGACGGAUGGUCAAACGUUGGACACGGAUAUCCACGGCUGCACUUAUU
This is a non-coding RNA of Oryza nivara, 199 nucleotides long. The record is from Rfam. Lineage: Eukaryota; Viridiplantae; Streptophyta; Magnoliopsida; Poales; Poaceae.